GCCCUAGUAACGGCGAGUGAAGCGGCAACAGCUCAAAUUUGAAAUCUGGCCUCGGCCCGAGUUGUAAUUUGUAGAGGAAGCUUUUGGCGCGGCACCUUCUGAGUCCCCUGGAACGGGGCGCCAUAGAGGGUGAGAGCCCCGUAUAGUUGGAUGCCUAGCCUCUGUAAAGCUCCUUCGACGAGUCGAGUAGUUUGGGAAUGCUGCUCAAAAUGGGAGGUAAAUUUCUUCUAAAGCUAAAUACCGGCCAGAGACCGAUAGCGCACAAGUAGAGUGAUCGAAAGAUGAAAAGCACUUUGAAAAGAGGGUUAAAUAGCACGUGAAAUUGUUGAAAGGGAAGCGCUUGUGACCAGACUUGCGCCGGGCUGAUCAUCCGGUGUUCUCACCGGUGCACUCUGCCCGGCUCAGGCCAGCAUCGGUUCUCGCGGGGGGACAAAGGCCCUGGGAACGUAGCUCCUCCGGGAGUGUUAUAGCCCAGGGCGUAAUGCCCUCGCGGGGACCGAGGUUCGCGCUCUGCAAGGAUGCUGGCGUAAUGGUCACCAGCGACCCGUCUUGAAACACGGACCAAGGAGUCAAGGUUUUGCGCGAGUGUUUGGGUGUAAAACCCGCACGCGUAAUGAAAGUGAACGUAGGUGAGAGCUUCGGCGCAUCAUCGACCGAUCCUGAUGUAUUCGGAUGGAUUUGAGUAGGAGCGUUAAGCCUUGGACCCGAAAGAUGGUGAACUAUGCUUGGAUAGGGUGAAGCCAGAGGAAACUCUGGUGGAGGCUCGCAGCGGUUCUGACGUGCAAAUCGAUCGUCAAAUCUGAGCAU
RNAcentral lists this ribosomal RNA (807 nucleotides) under Madurella mycetomatis. RNAcentral's name for it is "eukaryotic LSU rRNA". It matches the Rfam family "Eukaryotic large subunit ribosomal RNA", at positions 77 to 918 of the family's 3401-position model. Lineage: Eukaryota; Fungi; Ascomycota; Sordariomycetes; Sordariales. The record is from RNAcentral.